RNAcentral lists this ribosomal RNA (253 nucleotides) under uncultured bacterium. RNAcentral describes it as "partial 16S ribosomal RNA". It matches the Rfam family "Bacterial small subunit ribosomal RNA", at positions 524 to 776 of the family's 1533-position model. The record is from RNAcentral.
UACAGAGGUCCCGAGCGUUGUUCGGAUUCAUUGGGCGUAAAGGGUGCGUAGGCGGCGUGGCAAGUCUGAUGUGAAAUCCCGGGGCUCAACCCCGGAACUGCAUUGGAUACUGCCUUGCUUGAGUACUGGAGAGGAGACUGGAAUUUACGGUGUAGCAGUGAAAUGCGUAGAUAUCGUAAGGAAGGCCAGUGGCGAAGGCGAGUCUCUGGACAGUUACUGACGCUGAGGCACGAAGGCCAGGGGAGCAAACGGG